Molecule: ribosomal RNA, 762 nt
Filed under: Bacillus subtilis
Lineage: Bacteria; Bacillati; Bacillota; Bacilli; Caryophanales; Bacillaceae
Description: bacterial SSU rRNA
Rfam family: Bacterial small subunit ribosomal RNA
Source: RNAcentral
GAAUUUCAAGGACCAAGUACUCGUUCAGACAUACCUCGAGCGGACAGAUGGGAGCUUGCUCCCUGAUGUUAGCGGCGGACGGGUGAGUAACACGUGGGUAACCUGCCUGUAAGACUGGGAUAACUCCGGGAAACCGGGGCUAAUACCGGAUGCUUGUUUGAACCGCAGGUUCAAACAUAAAAGGUGGCUUCGGCUACCACUUACAGAUGGACCCGCGGCGCAUAGCUAGUUGGUGAGGUAAUGGCUCACCAAGGCAACGAUGCGUAGCCGACCUGAGAGGGUGAUCGGCCACACUGGGACUGAGACACGGCCCAGACUCCUACGGGAGGCAGCAGUAGGGAAUCUUCCGCAAUGGACGAAAGUCUGACGGAGCAACGCCGCGUGAGUGAUGAAGGUUUUCGGAUCGUAAAGCUCUGUUGUUAGGGAAGAACAAGUACCGUUCGAAUAGGGCGGUACCUUGACGGUACCUAACCAGAAAGCCACGGCUAACUACGUGCCAGCAGCCGCGGUAAUACGUAGGUGGCAAGCGUUGUCCGGAAUUAUUGGGCGUAAAGGGCUCGCAGGCGGUUUCUUAAGUCUGAUGUGAAAGCCCCCGGCUCAACCGGGGAGGGUCAUUGGAAACUGGGGAACUUGAGUGCAGAAGAGGAGAGUGGCAUUCCACGUGUAGCGGUGAAAUGCGUAGAGAUGUGGAAGAACACCAGUGGCGAAGGCGACUCUCUCGUCUGUUACUGACACUGAGGAGCGAAAGCGUGUGGAGGGGCA